Molecule: transfer RNA, 76 nt
Filed under: Bacteriophage sp.
Also listed under: 1 other name
Description: tRNA-Pro
Rfam family: tRNA
About the family: Transfer RNA (tRNA) molecules are approximately 80 nucleotides in length. Their secondary structure includes four short double-helical elements and three loops (D, anti-codon, and T loops).
Source: RNAcentral
CAGUGAGUGGUUCAGUAGGUAGAACACUUGUUUUGGGAACAAGAAGUCAGAGGUUCGAUUCCUCUCUCACUGACCA